CGCGUCUUGACGGGGUGCUGGCAACUGGCCGGCUGAGAUUGCACUGCAGAACCCGAAUACCUGAUCCGGAUAAUGCCGGCGUAGGAAUAUGAGAACACAUCAGCA
RNAcentral lists this non-coding RNA (105 nucleotides) under Marinobacter sp. RNAcentral describes it as "TPP sequence". It matches the Rfam family "TPP riboswitch aptamer (THI element)". Rfam says of the family: Vitamin B(1) in its active form thiamin pyrophosphate (TPP) is an essential coenzyme that is synthesised by coupling of pyrimidine and thiazole moieties in bacteria. The previously detected thiamin-regulatory element, thi box was extended, resulting in a new, highly conserved RNA secondary structure, the THI element, which is widely distributed in eubacteria and also occurs in some archaea. Analysis of operon structures identified a large number of new candidate thiamin-regulated genes, mostly transporters, in various prokaryotic organisms. Lineage: Bacteria; Pseudomonadati; Pseudomonadota; Gammaproteobacteria; Pseudomonadales; Marinobacteraceae. RNAcentral also lists the same sequence under 1 other name. The record is from RNAcentral.